RNAcentral lists this long non-coding RNA (918 nucleotides) under Mytilus galloprovincialis (Mediterranean mussel). Lineage: Eukaryota; Metazoa; Mollusca; Bivalvia; Mytilida; Mytilidae. The record is from RNAcentral.
AAGAAGUUACUUCAGAACAGAACAAAUUGUACACCAGCAGUAUAAAACACACAACUACAAGUGACUUCAGAACAUAACAAAUUGUACAUAAGCAAUAUAAAACACACAACUACAAAUUACUUCAGAACAUAACAGAUUGUACAUAAGCAGUAUAAAACAAACAACUACAAAUUACUUCAGAACAGAAACAAAUUGUACAUCAGCAGUAUAAAACACACAACUACAAGUUACUUCAGAACAGAACAAAUUGUACAUAAGCAGUAUAAAACACACAACUACAAAUUACUUCAGAACAUAACAAAUUGUACACCAAGCAGUAUAAAACACACAACUACAAGUUACUUCAGAACAAAACAAAUUGUACACCAGCAGUAUAAAACACACAACUACAAGUUACUUCAGAACAUAACAGAUUGUACACCAAGCAGUAUAAAACACACAACUACAAAGUUACUUCAGAACAGAACAGAUUGUACACCAGCAGUAUAAAACACACAACUACAAGUUACUUCAGAACAUAACAGAUUGUACACCAGCAGUAUAAAACACACAACUACAAGUUACUUCAGAACAUAACAGAUUGUACACCAGCAGUAAAAAACACACAACUACAAGUUACUUCAGAACAUAACAAAUUGUACAUAAGAAAUAUAAAACACACAACUACAAAUUACUUCAGAACAUAACAGAUUGUACACCAGCAGUAUAAAACACACAACUACAAAUUACUUCAGAACAUAACAAUUGUACAUAAGCAGUAUAAACACACAACUACAAGUUACUUCAGAACAUACACAAAUUGUACAUAAGCAGUAUAAAAUAUACAACUACAAGUUACUUCAGAACAUAACAGAUUGUACACCAGCAGUAUAAAACACAUAACUACAAGUUACUUCAGAACAUAACAGAUUGUACAUU